GCGCCCGUAGCUCAGUGGAUAGAGCAACCGCCUUCUAAGCGGUAGGUCAAAUGUUCGAAUCAUUUCGGGCGCGCCA
Molecule: transfer RNA, 76 nt
Filed under: Alphaproteobacteria bacterium
Lineage: Bacteria; Pseudomonadati; Pseudomonadota; Alphaproteobacteria
Also listed under: 5 other names
Description: tRNA-Arg
Rfam family: tRNA
About the family: Transfer RNA (tRNA) molecules are approximately 80 nucleotides in length.
Source: RNAcentral